GAUGAAGAACGUAGCAAAAUGCGAUAAGUAAUGCGAAUUGCAGAAUUCAGUGAAUCAUCGAAUCUUUGAACGCACAUUGCGCCCGCUAGUAUUCUGGCGGGCAUGCCUGUCUGAGCGUCAUUUCAACCCUCGCCCCCGGCUUUUGCUGGGAGCGGUGUUGGGGAUCGGCCGCCCGUCACUGGGAGGCCGGCCCCGAAAUAGAGUGGCGACCACGCCGUGUGCUCCUCUGCGUAGUAGUAAAUCACCUCGCAGGCGGACAGCGGUGCGGCCUGCCGUAAAACCCCCAACUCUUUCUGGUUGACCUCAGAUCAGGUAGGAAUACCCGCUGAACUUAAGCAUAUCAAUAAGCGGAGGA
RNAcentral lists this unclassified non-coding RNA (355 nucleotides) under soil metagenome. RNAcentral describes it as "partial contains 5.8S ribosomal RNA, internal transcribed spacer 2, and large subunit ribosomal RNA". The stretch from base 1 to 120 matches the Rfam family "5.8S ribosomal RNA", at positions 35 to 154 of the family's 154-position model. The record is from RNAcentral.